UACAGAGGGUGCAAGCGGUAAUCGGAAUUACUGGGCGUAAAGCGUGCGCAGGCGGUUUUGUAAGUCUGACGUGAAAUCCCCGGGCUCAACCUGGGAAUUGCGUUGGAGACUGCAAGGCUAGAAUCUGGCAGAGGGGGGUAGAAUUCCACGUGUAGCAGUGAAAUGCGUAGAGAUGUGGAGGAACACCGAUGGCGAAGGCAGCCCCCUGGGUCAAGAUUGACGCUCAUGCACGAAAGCGUGGGGAGCAAACAGG
RNAcentral lists this ribosomal RNA (253 nucleotides) under uncultured bacterium. Its description in RNAcentral is "partial 16S ribosomal RNA". It matches the Rfam family "Bacterial small subunit ribosomal RNA", at positions 524 to 776 of the family's 1533-position model. The record is from RNAcentral.